AUUGAACGCUGGCGGCAGGCCUAACACAUGCAAGUCGAGCGGCGCGGCGGACGGGUGAGUGAUGCCUAGGAAUCUGCCUGGUAGUGGGGGAUAACGUCCGGAACCGGGCGCGAAUACCGCAUACUAUCGGAUGAGCAUAGGCCGGAUUAGCUAGUUUGUGGGGUAAAGGCCUACCAAGGCGACGAUCCGUAACUGGUCUGGGAGGAUGAUCAGUCACUCUGGAACGUGGACAGUGUCCAGACUCCUACGGGAGGCAGCAGGGGGGAAUAUUGGACAAUGGGCGAAAGCCUGAUCCAGCCAUGCCGCGUGUUUGAAGAAGGUCUUCGGAUUGUAAAGCACUUUACGUUGGUAGGCUUUACCAACAGAAUAAGCACCGGCUAACUUCGUGCCAGCAGCCGCGGUAAUAC
Molecule: ribosomal RNA, 407 nt
Filed under: uncultured bacterium
Lineage: Bacteria
Description: partial 16S ribosomal RNA
Rfam family: Bacterial small subunit ribosomal RNA
Source: RNAcentral